GGCUCAGAACGAACGCUGGCGGCAUGCCUAACACAUGCAAGUCGAACGAAGGCUUCGGCCUUAGUGGCGCACGGGUGCGUAACGCGUGGGAAUCUGCCCUUUGGUUCGGAAUAACAGCUGGAAACGGCUGCUAAUACCGGAUGAUGACGAAAGUCCAAAGAUUUAUCGCCAGAGGAUGAGCCCGCGUUGGAUUAGGUAGUUGGUGGGGUAAAGGCCUACCAAGCCGACGAUCCAUAGCUGGUCUGAGAGGAUGAUCAGCCACACUGGGACUGAGACACGGCCCAGACUCCUACGGGAGGCAGCAGUGGGGAAUAUUGGACAAUGGGCGAAAGCCUGAUCCAGCAAUGCCGCGUGAGUGAUGAAGGCCCUAGGGUUGUAAAGCUCUUUUACCCGGGAAGAUAAUGACUGUACCGGGAGAAUAAGCCCCGGCUAACUCCGUGCCAGCAGCCGCGGUAAUACGGAGGGGGCUAGCGUUGUUCGGAAUUACUGGGCGUAAAGCGCACGUAGGCGGCUUUGUAAGUCAGAGGUGAAAGCCUGGAGCUCAACUCCAGAACUGCCUUUGAGACUGCAUCGCUUGAAUCCAGGAGAGGUCAGUGGAAUUCCGAGUGUAGAGGUGAAAUUCGUAGAUAUUCGGAAGAACACCAGUGGCGAAGGCGGCUGACUGGACUGGUAUUGACGCUGAG
This 683-nucleotide ribosomal RNA is filed under the name Sphingomonas yabuuchiae. RNAcentral describes it as "bacterial SSU rRNA". It matches the Rfam family "Bacterial small subunit ribosomal RNA", at positions 21 to 750 of the family's 1533-position model. Lineage: Bacteria; Pseudomonadati; Pseudomonadota; Alphaproteobacteria; Sphingomonadales; Sphingomonadaceae. The record is from RNAcentral.